Long non-coding RNA from Anguilla rostrata (American eel), 205 nucleotides. RefSeq lists it as uncharacterized. NCBI's taxonomy places the organism in Eukaryota, Metazoa, Chordata, Actinopteri, Anguilliformes, Anguillidae. The transcript has 2 exons. The record is from RefSeq and is a predicted model, not a curated record.
UCUCCCCUACUGUCAGAGCAAAUCACCAAAAACUUGACAUAGAGUCAGGUCAUCAUCAGGAUCUUGGAAAAGAAUGAGGGCUUUAGCUGCUAUCGGCCAGAAUUUGCCAUGGCCCGUGGAUUCCACCAUUAAAGGCUGAAGAAAUGUGAUAGUCUUGAUUGUAUUUAUUUUGGAUGUUUGAUUAUAGAAAAAUCUAUUGUAACAA